UUUUUUGUUGAUUUUU
RNAcentral lists this small RNA (16 nucleotides) under Arabidopsis thaliana (thale cress). RNAcentral's name for it is "ATSL128840". Lineage: Eukaryota; Viridiplantae; Streptophyta; Magnoliopsida; Brassicales; Brassicaceae. The record is from RNAcentral.